Molecule: ribosomal RNA, 246 nt
Filed under: uncultured bacterium
Lineage: Bacteria
Description: partial small subunit ribosomal RNA
Rfam family: Bacterial small subunit ribosomal RNA
Source: RNAcentral
AGAAUCAACGCUGGCGGCGUGCCUAACACAUGCAAGUCGAACGAGAAAGUGGAGCAAUCCAUGAGUAAAGUGGCGCACGGGUGAGUAACACGUGACUAACCUACCUUUUAGUGGGGGAUAACCUAGGGAAAACCUGGGCUAAUACCGCAUAACACUUACGAGUCAAAGCAGCAAUGCGCUGGAAGAGGGGGUCGCGGCCGAUUAGCUAGUUGGCGGGGUAAUGGCCCACCAAGGCAGUGAUCGGUA